UUGAAUAUGGUAUUACUUUGCUUUAGAGACACAGCCACAGAUGUGUAGUACGGUUGUAAAACAAUGAUAAAAAUCAACAAGUCCUACCUAUUUGCACAGGCACUUGUGUCUUGUGACGGUGCUGCGUAACGGGUCAGCAGAAGUGUCCGGUCAAAAGUCAGCCCCCGCGGUCAAAGCAGCUCCUUUCUGCCAGGAAGCUCCGGCUCUGCAGCAACGCAGCAUUGGGAGUGGGAGAGGGGACAAGGCGUAAGGAUGUAGGAGUUACCUCCGUCGCCUCAAUGACCGGCAGAUACAGGCUGUGAGACAGCGAGGCUACAGGUUGAAGCUGGUGGAGAACGACGAUGUUGUGGUGGGAAUGGAGUGAUCCUCGUCAAAGCAAAUCUUUAAAUGCUGGCACCAGCAAAAUAUGACGCCCUCAUCUCAGAACAAUACGCCUACAACAACAGCAAAGGCAGCCCUCCAGUCUGAUAUCUGCAGAGACUUUCUGGGGAAGGGAGAUUGCAGGAGGCGCUGCUCUCAGUGUUUUCUAGUCGUAAGCACCCAUUUCUUUGGCAGAUUUAGUCUAAAGCGAGAUCACCUGUUUGAUCCCCAGACAGAAGAAUGUGGAAGCGAGAGAGGGAGAGGAGAGUGCGUGAGACACAGAAUGGAGAGAAGAGGGUGUUGAUCCAACUUAUGACAGCAGACCGCAGGGGAGGAGCUUCGUCCUGGGUGACCUCUGCUGAUGCUGCAGCAGCAUGUUUCCCUCUAGGGUCCCUCUAUAAUUAGAGACUGACCUUGGAAGUUCUCUACCUGCCUGUUGAGAGCAGCCAUGUUGGUAAUGAUCACUGCUUUCAUGAUGAGAUAUGUCCCUACCUUUAGAGUAGAGUACUCUACUAUUGAUUCUAGGUAUGGUUUCUCUUUCUGUUGUUUUCACCCUGACAAAAAAAGAAAAAUAAAUAAAUAAAUAAA
Long non-coding RNA from Scatophagus argus, 948 nucleotides. RefSeq lists it as uncharacterized. The record is from RefSeq and is a predicted model, not a curated record. The transcript is spliced from 3 exons. Lineage: Eukaryota; Metazoa; Chordata; Actinopteri; Scatophagidae.